UAAUUUCAAGGUUGAACUAUCGUAAAUUAAAGAAGAAAAAAGAAGGGACGAACAAAAAAAUUAAAGGACGUUCCAGCGUAAGGCUUGCAUAAGCGCCCAUGCCUCAUACCUGAGUGUGUCGCUGCCUUGACUGAUUUAACUCACAAGCUGCCCUUGAAAGUUGUCGCUCUUCCUCAUCAGGCCUAUCGUUUCUUAAGAUUCGGCCACUAAGUAAUGAUUGAAUAUUGAAACAAGAAUAGGACCUUAUAAUUAUAAGUUCAAGUAAACUACUCCAGAAGAUCAGAGACAAUUUCCGAAAUGAAUGAUAAAUCAAUACAUACAACUCUGUACGCAUCAGAAACUGUUUGAAGAGGAGUAAACGAUUCAGUAACUUGCAACAUUGCCAAAAGUUUGUUGAGGAAAAAAAAACAAAACAAAACAAAAAACUGUCAUUCUUUGUCAGUUAAUGAAAUGAUGGCAGUUUUUAAAGGAUACCUCCCGCAAAUCAAAUUCAAAAAAACAGGGGCCUUCUUUGCUAGCAAUUAGCUGGUGAACGCAUUCUGGAUAAGCUUCACCGAGAUGGCCAGCUUGCAAAAUUUCCGUAUGAAUUACAAGUUGGCAAAUGAGAGUGACAAAAAGGGACACACAAGAACAAGAUGUCAAGCAAGAUAGCGGACUGCAAAAGAAAAUACAUCUAUAAAAAAGAUUAAAUUUUGUGUUUCCAAUUAAAAAAAGUUGAAGAAAAAGCUGAAGGAUUUAAGGUUCCAAUAUGUUUUCUUUUAUUAUAGAACUCCAAUAUAUAGAUACAAAGCUUGGCUAUACAUAGAAUAUAAAAAAUUAUUGCUAUAAUUCCUAAUCUAUCAAAGGAAUUAGUAAUUAAGGGAUUGUGGUGCAUAAUAUCCUUCCCUAAUAUCCCAGAUUUUCUCCCUUAAUUGCUCAACUCACGCCAACACUCCUCCUCAAGUUGGUGCGUAUAUAUCAACGAGACCCAAUUUGUCUAGUGAGUUGGGGAAUGUCCUACUGCACACUGCCUUUGUAAGAAUAUCUGCCAGUUGGUCUUCAGAUUUCACAAAUGGGAACCUGAUAAUCUUCGCAUCAAGAUUUUGUUUGAUGAAACGCCGAUCUACUUCCACAUGUUUAGUCCGAUCAUGUUGAACAGGAUUAUGGGAGAUGUCAAUCGCUGCCUUAUUAUCACAAAACAGAUUCAUUUCGGAGUCAGGGGCAAAACCAAUCUCUGUCAAAAGCCUCCUAAGCCACAAUAAUUCACAUAGCCCUUUAGCUAUUCCACGAAACUUAGCUUCAACACUAGAUAGAGCAAUCGUCUUCUGUUUCUUACUUCUCCAAGUAACUAAGUUCCCUCCAACAAAGGUAAAGUAGCCUGAGGUGGAUUUCCUGUCCAUGAUGUUCCCAGCCCAAUCUGCAUCUGUAUAUCCUUCUACUCUUAGGUGAUUAUUCUUUGAGAAUAUAAGUCCCUUUCCAGGGGAAGAUUUCAAGUAUCUUAAAAUUUGUAUUACAGCACUCAUGUGAUCUUCGCUCGGACAAUGCAUAAACUGGCUUACAACACUUACUGCAUAAGCAAUGUCAGGGCGUGUAUGAGACAGAUAAAUAAGCUUGCCUACCAAUCUUUGGUAUCGUCCUUUGUCAGUAGGUACUUGAUUGCGAUACUCCCCAAGUUUGUGAUUCGGAAUUAUUGGAGUGUUUGUAGGCUUGCAGUUUAGCAAUCCAACCUCUGCCAAUAGGUCUAAAAUAUAUUUUCUCUAGGAUAGGAAUAUACCCUGUUUUGAUUUGGCAACUUCAAUUCCCAUAAAAUAUUUGAGUCCUCCUAGAUUUUUCAUUUCAAACUCAGAUGCCAACUGCUUUUGAAGCCUUGCUAUCUCAUCUGAAUCGUCUCCUGUGAUGAUCAUAUCAUCUACAUAGACUAUUAGGGCAAUCAAUUUGCUGUGUCUAUAUUUAAGGAACAAAGUAUGAUAAGAGUUACUUUGUUGGAACCCAUACUUCCUCAUUGCUGUACUGAACCUCCCAAACCAAGCUCGAGGCGAUUGUUUCAAGCCGUAUAGAGUUCUUUGCAACUUAAAAACAAUAUUGCCUUCUAUGUUAGCUCUAUACCCUGGGGGAAUGUUCAUAUAUAUCUCUUCUUCUAAAUCACCAUGCAAAAAUGCAUUCUUUACAUCGAACUAAUGUAAGGGCUAGUCAUGAUUUGUUGCAAGUGACAACAGUACUCUCACUGUAUUUAGCUUGGCUACUGGUGAGAAAGUCUCCUUAUAGUCAAUUCCAUAUGUCUGUGUGAAUCCCUUUGCCACAAGUCUAGCUUUGUAAUGGUCAACUAUUCCAUCUGCCUUAUAUUUGAUUGAAAACACCCACUUGCACCCCACCGUUUUAUGUCCUUUAGGUAGCGUGUCAGGACCUAAGUCUCAUUUUUUGCCAGUGCCUCCAUCUCCUCCUUCAUAGCUUGGACCCACCUUGGGUCUUUCAUUGCUUCUUCAACACUUGUAAGAACUGGAUGCGAGGAAACUUCGUCCGCAAAAGCCUUAAGGGUUUCGGGAAGUCCCUUUGUGGAUACAUAGUUGGCAAUUGGGUAUUUAACCCUUUGGUCUUCCAUGUCGGGAGUAUAUUUGUUCGAUGGCUUUCCUCGAUUGUGCUUGUAUGGUAACUCAUAACCAACUAAAGUAUCAUUAGCUAACAGAGGUGUACUUGGAGAGUUUGGAGAGCUUACCAUAGGAGUAUUCUCAGGAGAUGGGUCUGUGGAUACUAUGGAGUAAGAAGGGGGUACUACUGCUUCAGAGUUUUGCUUCUACUUACUAUUUUUUGAUUGUGGAAUACUAGAUUCUAUAUCAUCUGUAGGUUCUGAAACAACAAGCUCAUUGACAGGAGUUUUUGUAUUAAUUGCAACGGGUUCAUUAAAUCCAGGCGAUUCAUACUGCAGCCAAUUUGACUUUUCACCCCGAGACUUCCCCUGAAGAGUAUAAGUGGAUAGGGAAGAGUAAAAAUAUUCUGAUUCCAAGAAAGUGACAUCCAUUGUCACAUAGGUACGAUGGUUAGUCGAAUCAUAACAUCGAUAUCCUUUUUUAUUCAAGCCAUAUCCCAAAAACACACAUCAAACUGCAUAGGGAUCAAGUUUAGUGCGCUGAUUUUUGUGCAAAUGAACAAUGGCGACACAACCAAACACUUGAGGCGGAAGUAUCAGGGUUGUAGGUAGAGAAAUGACAGCAGAUAGAGCCUCGAGAGAAGUUCGAAACUUAAGAGUAUUAGAAGGCGUCCGAUUAAUAAGAUAUACCGCUGUAGUGACAGCAUCGGUCCAAAAGUGAUUAGGUACACAAGCACCAAGUGGGUUAGCGCGAGCAGUCUCUAAGAUAUGCCGAUUUUUUCUCUCGGCAAGACCAUUUUGCUACGGAGUCUGAGGACAUGUGGUUUCAUGAAUCAAGCCAUGGUGAUUGAAAUAAUUUUUGAAUUCAUGAUUCACAUAUUAUCCACCAUUAUCAGAUUGAAGUAUGCGAAUUGUAGUAGAGAACUGGGUUUUAAUCAUCUUAUGGAAUGAGCAAAAAAUAGAGAAAACUUCGUCUUUGUUUUUCAUCAAAUACAACCAUGUCAUACGAGUGCAAUCAUCCACAAAAAUCACAAACCAUCAAACACCAGAUAUAGUAGGUUUGGGAGAUGGACCCCACACAUCAGAAUGAAUCAAUUCAAAAGGUAUCUGACUCUUAUUCAAACUUAAAGGAUAAGUAGCACGGUGACUUUUAGCUAAGAUGCAUGUUUCACAUUUAAGAUCCAAAUCUGACAAAUUGGAAAAUAAAGUAGGAGAUACAUGUUUCAGAUAACCAAAUGAAGGAUGUCCUAACCGACGAUGCCAUAGCAAAAUAUUUGACUUAUUUUGAUCACCGGAGCCUCUAGUGUGAUUAGCUUGACCGAUGCCAAAAUCUUCUAUAAAGUAGAGCCACCUCCUUUUAGUACCACGCCCAAUUAUCUCCUUGGUGAGAAUAUCCUGAAGAAGGCAAAAAGUGGGAUAAAUCAGAACAACACAAUUUAACUCCUUCGUGAUUUGGCUUACUGACAAUAAUUUAUGAGAAAAUGAGGGCACAAAAAGAGUAUUAGUUAAGGAGAGGGUUGGUGAAAUCAUCACUGUACCAACCCCAUUUACCAAAGAUACGUCCCCAUUAGCAUUAACAAUACUAAUACGUUGAGGAGAGGAUCGUUCAGAAAAGUCACUUGCAUCAUACAUCAUGUGGUCAGUUGCUCCUGAAUCAAGGAUCAAACUAUCAUAAGAUUUAGAUGUAUUGGUCUCGAGAAAACUCAUACUUGUAUCCAAGUCAGUUGUUGCCGUAGGAACAAGUGACAAUUUAGACUGAGUAGAGGCUGUUGCUGCCUUGCCCAUGCUGUUUGCUGCACUUUUGCUUGUUCCACCAUCAUUCCUGCUACCAUCUCGUCGUCUCUUGCCUUGUAAUUCAUGCCACCAAUCCGGGUAGCCAUGCAAUUUGAAGCAUGUGUCUCGGUUAUGUUUCAAACUUCGACAAUGAGAACAUUUAGUUCCAUUAGAUGGGACUAUUGAUUUAGGGGCUGAAUUGAGUUUUCCGUUCAAUGACAAAGAGUUGGCUGGAGUGAAGAGCCCUUGUUUCAGGCUUCGUGAUGCCAACAGCGCCCCAGCCAUGUCUUCUCCAUCAUUGGUUGUCAUUACUAAUUGUCGAACAGCUUCUCUCCGAACAUGGGCAUACGCCUGCUCUAAUGUGGGAAAGGGCUGAAGUUGUAAAACAUCACUUCUAAUAUUAUCCAAUUUAUCAUCCAAACCCUCAAGAAAAGUAUAUACCCGAUCCUUCUGCAGCAUAUUGUUAUAGUGUUUAAUAUCUUCUGGACAUUUCAUUGGGUUGGGACGACGAAAAUCAAUCUCACGCCAUAAGCCUUGGCGAUCAUUGUAAUACUUUUCCAAUCUCCCGCUCCCUUGCCUAAGCCGUGCCACUCACCGUCGGAGUUCGUAAACCUGGGAUGCAUCACUUCCAUCAAAGUAAGUGGUUCCAAUUGCAUCCCAAACCUGCUUUGUUGUUAGAAAUCGGAUGAAGUUGCCAAUAAGGGAUGAGUCCAUUGAACCAAUCAGCCAUCCCUUUACAUUUGAAUUUUUAGUCUGCCACUUACGAAAUGAAGGGUCGAUUGUUGGUGGCUGAGGAAGGUCUCCAUUGAGGUAUCCAAGCUUAUCUUUGCCUGCUACGUACAUCUCUACGACCUGUGACCAGAGGGCGUAAUUCGUGUUGUCCAGCUUGAUACCGAUCGGUGCAGCCAUUAAGUCAGCGGCUGAAGUAGGUGCCGAAGCUUUGCUCAAAACUUCUGUUAUCUUUGCUGUCAAUUCAGAUAUCAUAGAAGAAGAGUUUAUAUGAUGAGAUUCCAGGGGGUUAGAUUCACCAGAGUUCUCAUCAAAGUGAGGAUCCAUGUCUGCCAUGGAAGGGGUUGGGUUCUAUUUUUCACGGAUUCGGGUAGGGGAUCAGAUCUGGCUCUGAUACCAUGAAGGAUUUAAUGUUCCAAUAUGUUUUCUUUUAUUAUAGAACUCCAAUAUAUAUAGAUACAAAUCUUGGCUAUACAUAGAAUAUAAAAAAUUAUUGCUAUAAUUUCUAAUCUAUCAAAGGAAUCAGUAAUUAAGGGAUUGUGGUGCAUAAUAUCCUUCCCUAAUAGCCCAGAUUUUCUCCCUUAAUUGCUCAACUCACGUCAACAAAAGCCAAUAUUCAAAGCUUGGCAAAAAAAAUAAAUAUAUAAAUAACAUAAAAUAAAAAAUGUGCUAUAAAUCAAGAAGCGUGGCUCAAUACAAAGAAUUUGCAUGUACAAGAUCCAUUUAAUGUAGAACUUCAUGAAAUUGCUUCAACAGCUAACCUGGAAGACAAGAAGCUUAUUAAGGUCCACGGUAAAGAGCCUUGUGCAACCAUCAUGGUUCCUCAAAAUGUAACUACUGCAGAGGAAAAGAGAAUUUAAAGACUUAGGCAGGUAAAAAUCAAAAUGUCAAGAAAAGGCUUGGUCAGAAAAAAGAAAAGGACAGACACAAAGUACAAGAAAAAUGCCAUAAAAAUUAGAUCCAUGAACUUCAUUAUUUUUUGUUUCUGAACUUGUUCCUCAUGAACGAAUAUGCUCGUCAAUUUUAUAUUCUCAGUCCUGCAAAUAGUAUAAAUUCAUUUUGUCUGGUAAAUUGUCUAAAUUGCAACCAUUUAUUCAAUACCAAUCCAGUUGUCUACAGCAAAAGAUUCCCAAUACAUAAUUGAAGAUAGCAGAUUCUGUGAAAAUGCACUUUAACUACAAGUGAUCAAGAAAUGAAUUUGCAUAUCGUAAGGGGGGAAAGGCCCACAGGAAGUUAAGUUUAACGCACACACAACAUAAGAAUCAUUUCAAUUUAUUUUGCAGUUCAUAAUCGAAGGGAACAAAAGGAUUAACAUCAUGAAUACCAACACCAGUUCUCCAAAAAUAUAUAUAUAUAUAUAUAUAGAUUUUACUAACCACUUGUGCAAACAAAUUUAUUUAUAUAUAUAUAUAUAUGCCACUUGUGAUUUCAUUGAGGGUUGGGUUGGUUGAUUUAUGAGUCCACUUUGUCAUUGUAAUUUGCUAAGGCACUUUCUAAAGUGUGGCUAAGUACUUAUUGAGCUAUCUGGUUAAUAUGUUCUACAUAUCAAAGGUACUCAGAUUUUAUAUAUAUAUAUAUAUAUAUAUAUAUAUAUAUAUAUAUAUAUAUAUAUAUAUAUAUAUAUAUAUAUAUAUAUAUAUAUAUAUAUAUAUAAAAUCUGAGUACCUUUGAUAUGUAGAACAUAUUAACCAGAUAGCUCAAUAAGUACUUAGCCACACUUUAGAAAGUGCCUUAGCAAAUUACAAUGACAAAGUGGACUCAUAAAUCAACCAACCCAACCCUCAAUGAAAUCACAAGUGGCAACUUUAUUCAAGAAAAUACACAUCAAGUAAUCUAUAACUCAAUAUAUUCACUAAAUCACAAAAAAACUAAGUCAUAAUUUUUCUUCAUCAAGAACCCAAUUUUUGUUCAAAAUUUGAAUAUUUCUUUAUCAGGAAUUAAGAACCCAUGAAAUUCCCAGCUUCUAAUCUAAUAUAUACAACAAUGUACUUUUGCAUUGCCCCCAUCAAAUGACAAAUCUAGAAAGCAAAAACCAACAAAAUUUCUGCAAAAAAAGAUAAAAAAUAAAAAUGCAUAGAUCUAGUACGUAAUAUGAAAUAUAAGAAAAUUCCCAACAAUAAAAUUAAAGAAAAUAAAAACACUAACCCUGUAUAAUGCAGGUCCAAUCUUUCAAUUUAAGCUAAGAGGUUCUCACUCUAAGUAACAACCGCUGCAAACAAAAUGCGCCACCACUACGUAGAGUUUAUGGUCAGCCGAAUUUUGGGUGGACUAACAAAGUGCAAUUGCCUUCUCUGAAUAAAGAGAACUACAAUCGCCUUCUCUGCAAUCACCUUCCUUGAUGGAGUUUUGCAAAAAAAUCUAGAAGAUUUUCUUCUCCAAUUGCCAUCAGUCUUUGUCUUUCCUUCGUAUGCCGUUUGUAUUUCUUUUUGUUUCGGAC
This 7502-nucleotide long non-coding RNA is filed under the name Olea europaea (common olive). RNAcentral describes it as "long non-coding RNA (OEUR_LNC005846)". The record is from RNAcentral. Lineage: Eukaryota; Viridiplantae; Streptophyta; Magnoliopsida; Lamiales; Oleaceae.